AUGCAGAACGAGGUGGGUGACAUGGUGGACCUCUACGUCCCCAGGAAGUGCUCGGCCACCAACAGGAUCAUCACGGCCAAGGACCACGCCUCUGUCCAGAUCAACAUUGGUCACGUUGAUGAGAAUGGCCUCUAUGAUGGCCGCUUCACCACCUUUGCUCUCUCUGGGUUCGUCCGUGCUCAGGGUGAUGCUGAUGGCUCCCUGGACAGGCUGUGGCAGAAGAGGAAGGCUGAGAUCAAGCAGCUCUAG
This 249-nucleotide ribosomal RNA is filed under the name Triticum aestivum (bread wheat). RNAcentral's name for it is "partial small subunit ribosomal RNA". The record is from RNAcentral. Lineage: Eukaryota; Viridiplantae; Streptophyta; Magnoliopsida; Poales; Poaceae.